CCUACGGGAGGCAGCAGUAGGGAAUCUUCCACAAUGGGCGAAAGCCUGAUGGAGCAACGCCGCGUGGGUGAAGAAGGUCUUCGGAUCGUAAAACCCUGUUGUUAGAGAAGAAAGUGCGUGAGAGUAACUGUUCACGUUUCGACGGUAUCUAACCAGAAAGCCACGGCUAACUACGUGCCAGCAGCCGCGGUAAUACGGAGGUGGCAAGCGUUAUCCGGAAUUAUUGGGCGUAAAGGGCACGCAGGCGGUCUUUUAAGUCUGAUGUGAAAGCCUUGGGCUUAACCGGAGUAGUGCAUUGGAAACUGGGAGACUAGAGUGCUGAAGGGGGGAGUGGAACUCCAUGUGUAGCGGUGAAAUGCGUAGAUAUAUGGAGGAACACCAGUGGCGAAGGCGGCUCUCUGGUCUGUAACUGACGCUGAGGUUCGAAAGCGUGGGUAGCAAACAGGAUUAGAUACCCUUGUAGUC
RNAcentral lists this ribosomal RNA (465 nucleotides) under uncultured bacterium. Its description in RNAcentral is "partial 16S ribosomal RNA". It matches the Rfam family "Bacterial small subunit ribosomal RNA", at positions 338 to 795 of the family's 1533-position model. The record is from RNAcentral.